UACAGAGGUCUCAAGCGUUGUUCGGAUUCAUUGGGCGUAAAGGGCGUGUAGGCGGUUUGUUAAGUCAUGUGUGAAAUCCCUCGGCUCAACCAAGGAAGUGCAUCCGAAACUGCUGAGCUUGAGUACUUAAGAGGAUCGCGGAAUUCCCGGUGUAGAGGUGAAAUUCGUAGAUAUCGGGAGGAACACCAGUGGCGAAGGCGGCGAUCUGGGAAGAUACUGACGCUGAGGUGCGAAAGCGUGGGGAGCAAACAGG
This 253-nucleotide ribosomal RNA is filed under the name uncultured bacterium. RNAcentral describes it as "partial 16S ribosomal RNA". It matches the Rfam family "Bacterial small subunit ribosomal RNA", at positions 524 to 776 of the family's 1533-position model. The record is from RNAcentral.